CUGGAUAUUUUGCUUCACUUCGUGGUGAUCUCUGUGAAGUUUCUGGCUAAAGUACUCAAUCAAUGACAAUGAAUGGAAUCCUAUUCCUAGGACUCUUCUAGCUCACUUACACAUUUUCAAGAGACAAACAGAACCAAUGCACUUGGAUCAUCACCUAUUUCAGAGUUGGCAGACCAUAUGGAGUUCUGCAUCUGUAAACCCAGGACUUUGGGAGACCAAGGACGGAGGA
Molecule: long non-coding RNA, 229 nt
Organism: Saimiri boliviensis boliviensis (Bolivian squirrel monkey)
Lineage: Eukaryota; Metazoa; Chordata; Mammalia; Primates; Cebidae
Source: RefSeq, a predicted model, not a curated record